UUAAGCGACUAAGCGUACACGGUGGAUGCCCUGGCAGUCAGAGGCGAUGAAGGACGUGCUAAUCUGCGAUAAGCGUCGGUAAGGUGAUAUGAACCGUUAUAACCGGCGAUUUCCGAAUGGGGAAACCCAGUGUGAUUCGUCACACUAUCAUUAACUGAAUCCAUAGGUUAAUGAGGCGAACCGGGGGAACUGAAACAUCUAAGUACCCCGAGGAAAAGAAAUCAACCGAGAUUCCCCCAGUAGCGGCGAGCGAACGGGGAGCAGCCCAGAGCCUGAAUCAGUGUGUGUGUUAGUGGAAGCGUCUGGAAAGGCGCGCGAUACAGGGUGACAGCCCCGUACACAAAAAUGCACAUACUGUGAGCUCGAUGAGUAGGGCGGGACACGUGGUAUCCUGUCUGAAUAUGGGGGGACCAUCCUCCAAGGCUAAAUACUCCUGACUGACCGAUAGUGAACCAGUACCGUGAGGGAAAGGCGAAAAGAACCCCGGCGAGGGGAGUGAAAAAGAACCUGAAACCGUGUACGUACAAGCAGUGGGAGCCUCUUUUAUGGGGUGACUGCGUACCUUUUGUAUAAUGGGUCAGCGACUUAUAUUCUGUAGCAAGGUUAACCGAAUAGGGGAGCCGAAGGGAAACCGAGUCUUAACUGGGCGUUAAGUUGCAGGGUAUAGACCCGAAACCCGGUGAUCUAGCCAUGGGCAGGUUGAAGGUUGGGUAACACUAACUGGAGGACCGAACCGACUAAUGUUGAAAAAUUAGCGGAUGACUUGUGGCUGGGGGUGAAAGGCCAAUCAAACCGGGAGAUAGCUGGUUCUCCCCGAAAGCUAUUUAGGUAGCGCCUCGUGAACUCAUCUCCGGGGGUAGAGCACUGUUUCGGCAAGGGGGUCAUCCCGACUUACCAACCCGAUGCAAACUGCGAAUACCGGAGAAUGUUAUCACGGGAGACACACGGCGGGUGCUAACGUCCGUCGUGAAGAGGGAAACAACCCAGACCGCCAGCUAAGGUCCCAAAGUCAUGGUUAAGUGGGAAACGAUGUGGGAAGGCCCAGACAGCCAGGAUGUUGGCUUAGAAGCAGCCAUCAUUUAAAGAAAGCGUAAUAGCUCACUGGUCGAGUCGGCCUGCGCGGAAGAUGUAACGGGGCUAAACCAUGCACCGAAGCUGCGGCAGCGACACUAUGUGUUGUUGGGUAGGGGAGCGUUCUGUAAGCCUGUGAAGGUGUGCUGUGAGGCAUGCUGGAGGUAUCAGAAGUGCGAAUGCUGACAUAAGUAACGAUAAAGCGGGUGAAAAGCCCGCUCGCCGGAAGACCAAGGGUUCCUGUCCAACGUUAAUCGGGGCAGGGUGAGUCGACCCCUAAGGCGAGGCCGAAAGGCGUAGUCGAUGGGAAACAGGUUAAUAUUCCUGUACUUGGUGUUACUGCGAAGGGGGGACGGAGAAGGCUAUGUUGGCCGGGCGACGGUUGUCCCGGUUUAAGCGUGUAGGCUGGUUUUCCAGGCAAAUCCGGAAAAUCAAGGCUGAGGCGUGAUGACGAGGCACUACGGUGCUGAAGCAACAAAUGCCCUGCUUCCAGGAAAAGCCUCUAAGCAUCAGGUAACAUCAAAUCGUACCCCAAACCGACACAGGUGGUCAGGUAGAGAAUACCAAGGCGCUUGAGAGAACUCGGGUGAAGGAACUAGGCAAAAUGGUGCCGUAACUUCGGGAGAAGGCACGCUGAUAUGUAGGUGAAGUCCCUCGCGGAUGGAGCUGAAAUCAGUCGAAGAUACCAGCUGGCUGCAACUGUUUAUUAAAAACACAGCACUGUGCAAACACGAAAGUGGACGUAUACGGUGUGACGCCUGCCCGGUGCCGGAAGGUUAAUUGAUGGGGUCAGCGCAAGCGAAGCUCUUGAUCGAAGCCCCGGUAAACGGCGGCCGUAACUAUAACGGUCCUAAGGUAGCGAAAUUCCUUGUCGGGUAAGUUCCGACCUGCACGAAUGGCGUAAUGAUGGCCAGGCUGUCUCCACCCGAGACUCAGUGAAAUUGAACUCGCUGUGAAGAUGCAGUGUACCCGCGGCAAGACGGAAAGACCCCGUGAACCUUUACUAUAGCUUGACACUGAACAUUGAGCCUUGAUGUGUAGGAUAGGUGGGAGGCUUAGAAGUGUGGACGCCAGUCUGCAUGGAGCCGACCUUGAAAUACCACCCUUUAAUGUUUGAUGUUCUAACGUAGACCCGUGAUCCGGGUUGCGGACAGUGUCUGGUGGGUAGUUUGACUGGGGCGGUCUCCUCCUAAAGAGUAACGGAGGAGCACGAAGGUUGGCUAAUCCUGGUCGGACAUCAGGAGGUUAGUGCAAUGGCAUAAGCCAGCUUGACUGCGAGCGUGACGGCGCGAGCAGGUGCGAAAGCAGGUCAUAGUGAUCCGGUGGUUCUGAAUGGAAGGGCCAUCGCUCAACGGAUAAAAGGUACUCCGGGGAUAACAGGCUGAUACCGCCCAAGAGUUCAUAUCGACGGCGGUGUUUGGCACCUCGAUGUCGGCUCAUCACAUCCUGGGGCUGAAGUAGGUCCCAAGGGUAUGGCUGUUCGCCAUUUAAAGUGGUACGCGAGCUGGGUUUAGAACGUCGUGAGACAGUUCGGUCCCUAUCUGCCGUGGGCGCUGGAGAACUGAGGGGGGCUGCUCCUAGUACGAGAGGACCGGAGUGGACGCAUCACUGGUGUUCGGGUUGUCAUGCCAAUGGCACUGCCCGGUAGCUAAAUGCGGAAGAGAUAAGUGCUGAAAGCAUCUAAGCACGAAACUUGCCCCGAGAUGAGUUCUCCCUGACCCUUUAAGGGUCCUGAAGGAACGUUGAAGACGACGACGUUGAUAGGCCGGGUGUGUAAGCGCAGCGAUGCGUUGAGCUAACCGGUACUAAUGAACCGUGAGGCUUAACCUU
This 2901-nucleotide ribosomal RNA is filed under the name Escherichia coli. Its description in RNAcentral is "23S ribosomal RNA". It matches the Rfam family "Bacterial large subunit ribosomal RNA". The record is from RNAcentral. Lineage: Bacteria; Pseudomonadati; Pseudomonadota; Gammaproteobacteria; Enterobacterales; Enterobacteriaceae.